RNAcentral lists this ribosomal RNA (580 nucleotides) under Sydowia polyspora. Its description in RNAcentral is "eukaryotic LSU rRNA". Lineage: Eukaryota; Fungi; Ascomycota; Dothideomycetes; Dothideales; Dothioraceae. The record is from RNAcentral.
AUACUMAAUCGCACRWCGGUCUUCACGGCCCGACCUCCACCCUCUGUUGUUAAAACUACCUUGUUGCUUUGGCGGGACCGUCUCGGUCUCCGAGCGCACUAACCCUCGGGUUGGUGAGCGCCCGCCAGAGUCCAACCAAACUCUUGUAUUAAACCAGUCGUCUGAGUAUAAAAUUUUAAUUAAAUUAAAACUUUCAACAACGGAUCUCUUGGUUCUCGCAUCGAUGAAGAACGCAGCGAAAUGCGAUAAGUAAUGUGAAUUGCAGAAUUCAGUGAAUCAUCGAAUCUUUGAACGCACAUUGCGCCCCUUGGUAUUCCGAGGGGCAUGCCUGUUCGAGCGUCAUUACACCACUCAAGCAUCGCUUGGUAUUGGGAACGGUCCGUCGAAAGGCGGGCCUUCCUCGAAGACCUCGGCGGGGUUCAACCAACUUCGGGCGUAGUAGAGUUAAAUCGAACGUCUUAUAAGCUUGGUCGGAUCUCAUUGCCGUUAAACCUUUAAAUUUUCUAGGUUGACCUCGGAUCAGGUAGGGAUACCCGCUGAACUUAAGCAUAUCAAUAAGCGGAAGGGCGGAUCAUUAAGA